UAGUAAGAUGCCUGAUAAAAGGAUAGUCUUGAUAGGACUAAUAAUGUGGAAACUCCCCUCUUACU
This 65-nucleotide transfer RNA is filed under the name Engaeus lengana. RNAcentral's name for it is "tRNA-Ile". The record is from RNAcentral. Lineage: Eukaryota; Metazoa; Arthropoda; Malacostraca; Decapoda; Parastacidae.